CGAGCGCACCCUUGUCCUUAGUUGCCAGCCUUAAGUUGGGCACUCUAAGGAGACUGCGGGUGACAUACCGGAGGAAGGUGGGGACAACAUCUAGUCAUCUUGGGCCUUACAUGUAGGGCUACACACGUGCUACAAUGUGAUUUACAGAGGGAAGCGAGACAGUGAUGUGGAGCGGACCCCUUAAAGAAUGUCGUAGACCGGAUAGGAGUCUGCAACUCGACUCCAUGAAGUCGGAAUCGCUAGUAAUCGCAGGUCACAAUACUGCGGUGAAUACGUUCCCGGGCCUU
Molecule: ribosomal RNA, 287 nt
Filed under: uncultured Alteromonas sp.
Lineage: Bacteria; Pseudomonadati; Pseudomonadota; Gammaproteobacteria; Alteromonadales; Alteromonadaceae
Description: partial 16S ribosomal RNA
Rfam family: Bacterial small subunit ribosomal RNA
Source: RNAcentral